Molecule: small nuclear RNA, 103 nt
Organism: Suncus etruscus (white-toothed pygmy shrew)
Lineage: Eukaryota; Metazoa; Chordata; Mammalia; Eulipotyphla; Soricidae
Source: RefSeq, a predicted model, not a curated record
GUGCUCUUUUAGUAGCCCAUAUACUAAAAUUGGAAUGAUACAGAAAAAUUUGCAUGCACCUGUUCAAGGAUGCAUGCAAACCUAAAAUAUAUUAGAGAUAUUU